AUUGAACGCUGGCGGCAUGCUUUACACAUGCAAGUCGAACGGUAACAGGUUAAGCUGACGAGUGGCGAACGGGUGAGUAAUGCAUCGGAACGUGCCCGGUCGUGGGGGAUAACGCAGCGAAAGCUGCGCUAAUACCGCAUACGAUCUGAGGAUGAAAGCGGGGGACCGUAAGGCCUCGCGCGAUCGGAGCGGCCGAUGUCAGAUUAGGUAGUUGGGGGGGUAAAGGCUCACCAAGCCAACGAUCUGUAGCUGGUCUGAGAGGACGACCAGCCACACUGGGACUGAGACACGGCCCAGACUCCUACGGGAGGCAGCAGUGGGGAAUUUUGGACAAUGGGCGAAAACCUGAUCCAGCAAUGCCGCGUGCAGGAAGAAGGCCUUCGGGUUGUAAACUGCUUUUGUACGGAGCGAAAAGGUCUCCUCUAAUACAGGGGGCUCAUGACGGUACCGUAAGAAUAAGCACCGGCUAACUACGUGCCAGCAGCCGCCGUAA
Molecule: ribosomal RNA, 493 nt
Filed under: uncultured bacterium
Lineage: Bacteria
Description: partial 16S ribosomal RNA
Rfam family: Bacterial small subunit ribosomal RNA
Source: RNAcentral